This 409-nucleotide unclassified non-coding RNA is filed under the name fungal sp. RNAcentral describes it as "partial internal transcribed spacer region". The stretch from base 1 to 46 matches the Rfam family "Eukaryotic small subunit ribosomal RNA", at positions 1786 to 1831 of the family's 1831-position model. The record is from RNAcentral. Lineage: Eukaryota; Fungi.
AAGUCGUAACAAGGUCUCCGUAGGUGAACCUGCGGAGGGAUCAUUAACAAAUUUCAUUUUUUCAAACGCGGACCAAUGGGCUCAACUCCCAUUGCAAAGCUUUGCAAAAAUCAAAACACAACGCGAACGAAAUGACUGACCGCACCGACAGCACACACUAAGCUGAGCCUUGUGCUCACUUAGCUGCAGCCGAGCGGCUUUUUUUCUUUUUUUCUUUAACGAAUUUCACCUAAUGUUUGUUUUUCUGUGAACAGAAAUCAAAAACGUUUAUUCAACUAAGCACGAUCAAAUGCGAGUUUGAGCGUUAAGGUUAAUGAAUUUUUUUGUUUCGAUUAUAAUCGUUUUUAUAAUUUGAAUAUAAAAAGUCAAACUUAAAGCACAACUCUUAGCAACGGAUAUCUUGGUUCUC